CAGCAAUUUGCACACCUGGCAGCUCACAAUGUGACAACGUUCUCCCAUGACUCCGCCCAUUUUCUUAUUCUGGUCAAGGAUGCAAAACAGCAACCGAGUGUGUGUGCGUGUGUACAUGAGGAAGCUGUGUACUGUAGAUGCACCUCUGUCAGCAGGCCGGAUUAAAUCCACAACAAGAACAAACUUCCCAUCAAAGAAGCUCCAGGAAGGUUCCCGCCGCGGCUUACUCAGGUUACGCAGCCCCGAGGCUUGAAAAUGUCGAUUUGAGAGGCCCGCGUUUCCUCGUCUGAGACACCUUGCCGGCAGCGGGCCAGCCGCUUCCCUGACAGAAGCUGCUCUCAACUGUCCGGAGUCUAUUCAUCACGCCAACAGAACUACCCAUUGUUGAACGUCAUGGACAGGAAAGUCACCUGCAAGAACUGGAUGUUGGGAUUCCCAGCAGGUCCGUGUGAAGUGGGCGGUUGUGGCGCAAGCCGCUCCAGAACAAACAGCUCAUGUUUUGUUAAAGCCUAGUGGAAAAAAAACAAAACUGGCCUAACCUGUCCCAGAGUCCCUCUGCUAAGUCACCGUGCGUGUGUGUGUGGGCUACUUACCUCACCGCGUGCUGCGGAAAAACAUCCGAACAUUGAUCAAAACAGUAGAAGGCAGAUAAAGAUAAGGCCCUCUGUUGAAUGACAUGUCUGUUUUUGGGCUGCGUGGUUCCCCUUGAAGAAAGCGGGGUGGGUCCAGUCGUGCUCGGGAGGGACGACGAGCAGGUCCCGACUUGUUACGUUGCCACCGGGUCAAAUGUCUGCCUCUGACUGGAAUGCUCGCGGAGGGCAGAUAAGAAAAGCCGCGGCAGUCGUGUGUGGAGAUGCUUUUGCCUUCUGAUAAGGUUAAAAGGGAGUUCCGCCCCGGCUUGGUUUUUGAACAGCGUAGGUGGGCAAAAACAUGCGACAAAAAUGAAAGGUGGAGAGUUCUAGGCACUCCCCAACAGAAUUCGGCAGCAGCACAAGCGGUACUUUCUGAUUUGACAUUCUGUGUUGUUUGUCAUUGAGCUGCCAUGCAGCUGGCCACACGACACAAACUCUGGGUGGAAAAUUACCGGCCCUGUGGCUUUUCUACUUCUUUAUGAAGUGAAAAAAAAACAUUCUGUUAAAUUUGGUGGGCACACCUGGCGAACAUGCGAAGGAUAGCAAUGGGGUUUGAGGUUUCUGAUUCCGGGUUAGGGUUUAGGAUUUGGAAUUCUGAAUGAGCAGAUGAAUUUACUAAAUGGCAAAAUGUUGUGUUCCCAUGUUUUAAAAAUAAUAAGGGACGUUCGAGAGCCUUCUGCCCUAUAUUCAGCAUUCGACGCGAGAUCGCGUUCCACAUGAGCUCGGCAAGACCAAUUCUGCCCUUUUCAACUUGAAGCCGAUCGUGUCAAGCGUCUUCUUAUAGAAACUGUUAGUGUGGAUGCUAAAAGGCUUACUCCACUUCAGCUCACUUUGAUAUUUGCUCUCAAUGUUCCAGCCGAGCAGGCGCGUUGAGUCAAGUGGAAGUUUCGCCAUCCAGACGUCAUUUUCUUUUUCGACAACUUCUGCAUUGAUAUGUUUGAUGAAGGACAAGCGUUUGACUUUCAUCCCUCCGCCCGACGACACUUUAAUAUGUUACACAUUAACUCUGCGGACGGUGUCGGCGGUGACACAGCGACCGACGCGUGUGUGGCCCGGGCGUGUAAUUGUGUCGUCGCCUGGCUCCGAGGUUUGUUUUCCAAGCCCGGAGAUGAUUGCCAUUGAUAAGGCGGCGGCUCUAAAUAUAAAGUUGUGAAAUCAUUAAAAGGACGUAAAUAUACCCCUCCAAUCCCUUUACACUAAUCCUAAGCAUGGCCAAUGAAACUAUUCAUUAGAAAAUCAUCAGCUUUGCUUCAUUCCAGGAUUUUCAGCGUGUGUGUCUGUGUGUCUAAGCAGAGUGUGUCGUGUGGAGCUUAGCCGCAAUUAUGUGUGUUCAUGUGGUGCCUGCGUGUUUAUUGCUUAUUUAUGCAAAUCGCUGUGCCAUUUUUACACGGCUAAAAGUGACAACAUUAGCUUUAAUCCGGGAUAUGAGACGUUAUUCUCGAAAACCUUGCUAGAUUGGUCACCUCAAAAUAAAAAAAAAGGACUACUUUCUCCUCAAAAACUCCUAGGCAACAAUCCAACUGGGCCAGGUGGACAAGGCCCCUCACAUCGGAUCCUGCAAAUUCAAGAAUUGUCAUCGCUGAGCAUGAAUUAACGAAACUCCACAAUUCACCAAAUUGAACUUAACAAAAAAUCGCCAUCAUGGAAGAGAGGGCUUCCAUUCCAGGCCGAGCAGUGGAUGUUGGUGAACCUUCCCCUAGGAUGCUGAUGGAGGGUCUGCCCGUCCACACACAAAGACACACACACGGCCGCACAGAGCUGGGGUGGUUGGUUUGUUUAGCCGCAGAGCCGGUGUGUCCUCGUUGGGUGUGCGUGCGUGAGG
This is a long non-coding RNA of Syngnathus typhle (broad-nosed pipefish), 2454 nucleotides long. RefSeq lists it as uncharacterized. The transcript is spliced from 5 exons. NCBI's taxonomy places the organism in Eukaryota, Metazoa, Chordata, Actinopteri, Syngnathiformes, Syngnathidae. The record is from RefSeq and is a predicted model, not a curated record.